UUAAUAUGAUUUGAUUUCUCAAAAACAGUAAUGUAUCAGACAGCAUGACAUUUCAUCAACAGGUUUUGUUGUUGGCUUCGGACAGCCUUACCCACGUACGGUCACCCAUACGCGGUGCUGCCAAAGCAAAGGUAAAAGUUUCACAGUGGGUGAGAAGCGAACACAUGAAACCCCUCAAGUCCGUGCCUCACUAGGAGUCAGGACGUUCGGGGCCAGGGUGUAAGUUCUGUGGCCUAACUACAAGUUUCGGCCAAAACUAAUUAAUGAUCCUUCCGCAGGUUCACCUACGGAAA
Molecule: unclassified non-coding RNA, 293 nt
Filed under: uncultured fungus
Lineage: Eukaryota; Fungi
Description: sequence contains ITS1
Source: RNAcentral